UGGGGAAUAUUGGACAAUGGGCAAAAGCCUGAUCCAGCCAUGCCGCGUGUGUGAAGAAGGUCUUCGGAUUGUAAAGCACUUUAAGUUGGGAGGAAGGGCAGUAAGCGAAUACCUUGCUGUUUUGACGUUACCGACAGAAUAAGCACCGGCUAACUCUGUGCCAGCAGCCGCGGUAAUACAGAGGGUGCAAGCGUUAAUCGGAAUUACUGGGCGUAAAGCGCGCGUAGGUGGUUCGUUAAGUUGAAUGUGAAAGCCCCGGGCUCAACCUGGGAACUGCAUCCAAAACUGGCGGGCUAGAGUAGGGCAGAGGGUGGUGGAAUUUCCUGUGUAGCGGUGAAAUGCGUAGAUAUAGGAAGGAACACCAGUGGCGAAGGCGACCACCUGGGCUCAUACUGACACUGAGGUGCGAAAGCGUGGGGAGCAAACAGG
This 429-nucleotide ribosomal RNA is filed under the name Pseudomonadota bacterium. RNAcentral's name for it is "Proteobacteria bacterium partial 16S ribosomal RNA". It matches the Rfam family "Bacterial small subunit ribosomal RNA", at positions 355 to 776 of the family's 1533-position model. Lineage: Bacteria; Pseudomonadati; Pseudomonadota. The record is from RNAcentral.